AGAGUUUGAUCCUGGCUCAGAAUCAACGCUGGCGGCGUGCCUCAGACAUGCAAGUCGAACGAGAAAGUUCCCUUCGGGGGAUGAGUAAAGUGGCGCACGGGUGAGUAACACGUAGGUAAUCUACCUUCGGGUGGGGAAUAACCCAGGGAAACUUGGGCUAACACCGCAUAAUGCAGCGGCACCACAUGGUGACAGUUGUUAAAGCGGGGGAUUUUAGGACCUCGCGCCUGAAGAGGAGCCUGCGGCGGAUUAGCUAGUUGGUAAGGUAACGGCUUACCAAGGCGACGAUCCGUAACCGGCCUGAGAGGGCGGUCGGUCACACUGACACUGACAUACGGGUCAGACUCCUACGGGAGGCAGCAGUCGGGAAUUUUGGGCAAUGGGCGAAAGCCUGACCCAGCAACGCCGCGUGAAGGAUGAAAUCCCUCGGGAUGUAAACUUCGCAAGAAUGGGAAGAAUUAGUAGGGGCUAAUACCCUCUAUGAUGACGGUACCAUUUGUAAGCUCCGGCUAACUCCGUGCCAGCAGCCGCGGUAAUACGGGGGGAGCAA
This 550-nucleotide ribosomal RNA is filed under the name uncultured bacterium. RNAcentral's name for it is "bacterial SSU rRNA". It matches the Rfam family "Bacterial small subunit ribosomal RNA", at positions 8 to 537 of the family's 1533-position model. The record is from RNAcentral.